RNAcentral lists this ribosomal RNA (276 nucleotides) under uncultured bacterium. RNAcentral describes it as "partial 16S ribosomal RNA". The record is from RNAcentral.
CUGCUGCCUUCCGUAGGAGUCUGGUCCGUGUCUCAGUACCAGUGUGGGGGACCUUCCUCUCAGAACCCCUACGCAUCGUCGGUUAGGUGGGCCGUUACCCCGCCUACUGCCUAAUGCGCCGCAUGCCCAUCCCUGUCCGGCCGAAGCCUUUCCUGCCUCCGGGAUGCCCCGGUGGCAUGUACGCGGGUUUAGCCCGCCUUUUCGGCGGGUUGUCCCCCUGACAGGGGCAGGUUGCAUACGUGUUACUCACCCGUGCGCCGGUCGCCGGCGGAGAAA